This is a non-coding RNA of Osmia lignaria (orchard mason bee), 603 nucleotides long. The record is from RefSeq and is a predicted model, not a curated record. NCBI's taxonomy places the organism in Eukaryota, Metazoa, Arthropoda, Insecta, Hymenoptera, Megachilidae.
ACCAUAUAUUGCAGGAAAUGGAAUGCAAGAUGGAAUAAUGUUGCUGAGUAAUAAAUACGUGCAAGUUUCUUUGACUUUAUUUGAACUUUAUAUGUUGUUGACAAUACGGCAUGGCAUGGUACGUACAUUCAUAUAUACUCUUGCUACUCCUUCUAAAGUAGCAUGUAUCUCUUUACAUAAAGAAAAAAAUUAUAUAACAGAUGUCUUUCAAUAAUUGAGUAUGACAAUCAAAAUCAAAAUGGGAGUAUAUUUGCCAUUAUUUGAACCUGUUCAAACAUUGAUGGGAAAAUUACCACCAAAAAUUAUGAAGUAGAAAAAUUGAAUGGAUACAUUAAAGAAGUUAACCAGCGUAAAGUGAAAUACUAAGGCAAAUAACAAGAACGUACUCUGAAAAGAAAUACAAUUACUUUGUCGCAAGAUAUAUCUGGAAAUAUGUUUAAGCAUUUAUUCAGACAUUAAUGAGGAAAUUACAACAAAGAAUUUAUGGAGUAGGAAAAUUUGAUAGAUACAGUGAACAAAUUAUCCAAAGAGGAUUAUAAAAUUAGAUAUGUUUGUUUUCCAAAUCAUCGACUAUAAAAACAAUGUAAUGCCAGCAUAUUUUAA